Molecule: ribosomal RNA, 1392 nt
Filed under: Klebsiella aerogenes
Lineage: Bacteria; Pseudomonadati; Pseudomonadota; Gammaproteobacteria; Enterobacterales; Enterobacteriaceae
Description: bacterial LSU rRNA
Rfam family: Bacterial large subunit ribosomal RNA
Source: RNAcentral
ACUACGGUGCUGAAGUAACAAAUGCCCUGCUUCCAGGAAAAGCCUCUAAGCAUCAGGUAACACAAAAUCGUACCCCAAACCGACACAGGUGGUCAGGUAGAGAAUACCAAGGCGCUUGAGAGAACUCGGGUGAAGGAACUAGGCAAAAUGGUGCCGUAACUUCGGGAGAAGGCACGCUGAUGGUAAGUGAAGCGACUUGCUCGUGGAGCUGAACUCAGUCGAAGAUACCAGCUGGCUGCAACUGUUUAUUAAAAACACAGCACUGUGCAAACACGAAAGUGGACGUAUACGGUGUGACGCCUGCCCGGUGCCGGAAGGUUAAUUGAUGGGGUUAUCCGCAAGGAGAAGCUCUUGAUCGAAGCCCCGGUAAACGGCGGCCGUAACUAUAACGGUCCUAAGGUAGCGAAAUUCCUUGUCGGGUAAGUUCCGACCUGCACGAAUGGCGUAAUGAUGGCCAGGCUGUCUCCACCCGAGACUCAGUGAAAUUGAACUCGCUGUGAAGAUGCAGUGUACCCGCGGCAAGACGGAAAGACCCCGUGAACCUUUACUAUAGCUUGACACUGAACAUUGAGCCUUGAUGUGUAGGAUAGGUGGGAGGCUUUGAAGCGUGGACGCCAGUCUGCGUGGAGCCAACCUUGAAAUACCACCCUUUAAUGUUUGAUGUUCUAACGUUGACCCGUGAUCCGGGUUGCGGACAGUGUCUGGUGGGUAGUUUGACUGGGGCGGUCUCCUCCUAAAGUGUAACGGAGGAGCACGAAGGUUAGCUAAUCCUGGUCGGACAUCAGGAGGUUAGUGCAAUGGCAUAAGCUAGCUUGACUGCGAGAGUGACGGCUCGAGCAGGUGCGAAAGCAGGUCAUAGUGAUCCGGUGGUUCUGAAUGGAAGGGCCAUCGCUCAACGGAUAAAAGGUACUCCGGGGAUAACAGGCUGAUACCGCCCAAGAGUUCAUAUCGACGGCGGUGUUUGGCACCUCGAUGUCGGCUCAUCACAUCCUGGGGCUGAAGUAGGUCCCAAGGGUACGGCUGUUCGCCGUUUAAAGUGGUACGCGAGCUGGGUUUAGAACGUCGUGAGACAGUUCGGUCCCUAUCUGCCGUGGGCGCUGGAGAAUUGAGGGGGGCUGCUCCUAGUACGAGAGGACCGGAGUGGACGCAUCACUGGUGUUCGGGUUGUCAUGCCAAUGGCAUUGCCCGGUAGCUAAAUGCGGAAAAGAUAAGUGCUGAAAGCAUCUAAGCACGAAACUUGCCCCGAGAUGAGUUCUCCCUGACCCUUUAAGGGUCCUGAAGGAACGUUGAAGACGACGACGUUGAUAGGUCGGGUGUGUAAGCGUAGCGAUACGUUGAGCUAACCGAUACUAAUGAACCGUGAGGCUUAACCUUACAACGCCGAAGGUGUUU